RNAcentral lists this long non-coding RNA (7504 nucleotides) under Solanum lycopersicum (tomato). Its description in RNAcentral is "long non-coding RNA (SLYC_LNC000261)". The record is from RNAcentral. Lineage: Eukaryota; Viridiplantae; Streptophyta; Magnoliopsida; Solanales; Solanaceae.
GUUAGGAAAGACAUGCAUCACGAUAUUUGACAUUGCAUCUCAUGGCAUUGCACAUUUUAUUAUUGAUGAACUUGAACAUGUGUUUUGCUGAUCUUGUGAUUGUUUCUCUGUGAAGUCUGUGAUUGUUGAAUAUUGAGUUGUUAUUGAGAAUGUGUAAACUGAUAGAGUGUGGUUAUUGAGUGGUGUGUUUGGUAAACUGUUAGGCUGUAGCGUGGAGGUUUAGAUAGGGUGUAAGGAGUACCCGUAUUUUGUUCACUUAACUUGUGUUUAGAGGUUUGCUUGUUGGGUACCGCGUGGUUUGGUACUCACCCCUUGCUUCUACAAAUUUUUGUAGGUUACGAGCCUGGAUCUUUGUGAUACCUUCUAUUCUCUUCGUUUUCGAGGCAUCUUGUGGAGGAUUGUGAGGUAGCUGUUUGUCAUCUCAGCGAACUUUCCUACUCCAGUUUAUGAUUUUGUUUUUACUUGAAAGACAACUUCAUUUUAGACUUCUAUUUUGUUUCAAUUCUAAUGUUUACAUUAGAGGCUUGUGCACGUGACAACCUGGUUUUGGGGAUUGAAUUAUAUGACUUGGUUUCAUACUAGAAAUUGUUGUUGGAUUGUCAUUUACUUCCGCACUUUGUUAGAUAUUGGGUUUUAGGCUGACUUGUCUUGGUGGGAUAAGACAAGUGCCAUCACACCUAUUUUUGGGUCGUGACAAAAUGGUAUCAGAGCCCCAGGUUCAUAGGUCUCACGUGUAUACAAGCCGAGUCUACGUAGAGUCUCAAGGAUCAGUACGGAGACGUCUGUACUCAUCUUUGAGAGGCUAUAAAGAUUACUAGGAAACUUCCUUUUGUUCAUUCUUUCUCAUCGUGCGUAGUUACCUUCGUUAGUACUGAGUUGUUGUAUACUCUUUUGACAGAUGACGAGGACUAGAACUAAUGUUACUGGUGGUAGAGGGGAGGCACUUCCCGAGGCAGUUGUUGAGGCCCCAGCUAGAGGUAGGGGUAGAUCUCGAGCUAGAGGUCGUGCUAGUAGUACGACAGUAACCAGAGGUCGUGGACGUGGAGCAGCACCAGUGAGAGGUCGUGCUAGAGAGGUCUCUACCGAACCACAGAUUGAUGACAGAGAGGACCAGGUUCCUCCAGAUCCCGUAGUCACACCUUUGCUUCAGGAUACACUAUUGAGGGUGUUAAGUGUGCUAGAGGGCUUUUCUCAGGGUGGUGGUGCGACUACCACACCACAUGACUCUCGUACUAGAGAGGGGGCUCAGACCCAAGAGCAACAACAAGCUCCAGUUUUUCAGGAUGCGGUGGGGCAACUACCAGUAGAUCCCGCGGUUCAUAAUGAUAUUGCACCAGCAGUUGGGGGUCAAGUUGCAUCGAUGGUUGUUCUGACAGAGGAUGAGCAGCGUAGGUAUGAGAGAUUUCGAAAGAUGGACCCACCUCAGUUUCAGGGUGGGAAGAGCGAGGACGCUCAUGAGUUUCUAACUACCUGCCGAGAGUUACUAGAGGUGGUUGGAUUAGCUGAGUCACAUGGGGUUAGAUAUGCUACACUCCAGCUUCGUGGACCAGCGAGAGACUGGUGGAGGACUUAUUCGGGAUGUUUGCCAGUUGGAUCUCCUCCAGUGACUUGGGAGCAGUUUGCUAGCGCAUUCCAAGAUCGUUUUAUCCCAUGGAGCGUGAGAGAGGAGAGUCGCUUGAGGUUUGAGAGUCUGAGACAGGAUGGUUUAUCGGUUACAGAGUAUGAGGCGCGUUUUUGCCAGUUGUCUAGGCAUGCGUUGGCCAUUAUUCCAAAUGAGACAGAGAGGAUCCGCAGAUUUGUGAGGGGAUUGACUUUCUCUAUCAGGUCAGCUGUGUUUCGGACAUCUAGGGAGGGGACUUCUUUCCAGUCCAUUGUGAGCGCCGCCAAAGAGGCGGAAUUGAUGGAGAGAGAGGAGUUUGGGGACCCUAAAAGAGCUCGUAUAUCAGGCCAGUUUCAGGGUGCCUCAUCUGGAGGUAGGGGAUCACAGAGAGUGAGUGGUUCUUUUCAGCAGCGGGGACCUAUUCAUGCAUCUAUGCCGACAUUUGAGGGUGGCCAGACAUCUAGGGGUUCUUAUGGCCCAGGUCAGGGCUCGUACGGUUCACAACAGCGACCUACAGGGCGAGGAAAUUAUAGUGGGUUUUCAGGGUCCACACAACAGUUCCCAGGUCAGAGAUUUUGUUUUACUUGUGGAGAUCCCGAUCAUCUAAUGCGGCAGUGUACUUCUCAAAGGGGUCGUGGUGGGCCUCGACCAAAUUCUUCAUUCCAGACUAGACCACCAGCACCACAGGGUAGAGGUCGUGGCAGAGUUCAGUCAGGUAGAGGUGAUAGAGUUUCUAGUAGUGGUGUUGCAGCUCAGCAGAGUGGGGGUAGAGGUACCACCCAGGAUGGAGGUGGACGAGGAGGCCACUGCUAUGCUUUCCCCGGGAGACCUGAGGCGGAGACCUCAGAUGCGGUUAUUACAGGUAUCAUCCCAGUAUGCCAUCGACCUGCGUCUGUGUUGUUUGAUCCAGGUUCUACAUUCUCUUAUGUGUCUACGUAUUUUGCUGCUAAAUUUGAUAUGAUAUGUGAUAGCAUGACUGUACCUAUUCGUGUUUCUACACCCGUGGGUAAGCCCUAGUGGUGGAUCGAGUGUAUCGAUCCUGUCUUGUUUCUUUGGCUGGGUAUGACACUUGGGUAGACUUAAUCAUUCUGGGGAUGGUGGACUUUGAUGUUAUCUUGGGUAUGGAUUGGCUUUCUCCUUAUCAUGCUGUCCUUGAUUGUAAUGCUAAGACUGUGACUUUAGCAAUGCCUGGUGUUCCGAGGGUUGAGUGGAAGAGUGUUAGUGGUUCUUAUCCUAGAAAGGUUAUCUCUUUUAUCCGUGCUCAGAGAUUGGUGGAGAGGGGGUGUUUGUCUUACUUAGCUUUUAUUCGGGAUACUAGUGUUGAACCACCUUCCAUGGACUCUGUUCCCGUGGUUCAGGAGUUUCUCGAUGUAUUUCCUUCUGAUCUUCCAGGUGUUCCUCCCGAUAGGGAUAUUGAUUUUGCUAUUGAUUUGGAGCCAGGCACUAAGCCUAUUUCUAUACCUCCAUAUCGUAUGGCCCCAGCAGAGUUGAAAGAAUUAAAGGAUCAGUUGCAAGAUUUAUUGAGUAAGGGUUUUAUUCGCCCUAGUGUAUCACCUUGGGGUGCCCCUGUAUUGUUUGUGAAGAAAAAGGAUGGGACUAUGAGAAUGUGUAUUGAUUACAGACAGUUGAACAAGGUAACAAUUAAGAAUAAGUAUCCUCUUCCGCGUAUUGAUGACUUAUUUGAUCAGUUACAGGGAGCAUCAUUGUUCUCUAAGAUUGAUUUGAGGUCUGGGUAUCAUCAGUUGAAAAUUAGGGCAUCAGAUAUCCCUAAGACAGCUUUUCGGACCCGGUAUGGGCAUUAUGAGUUUCUAGUGAUGUCCUUCGGAUUGACUAAUGCCCCUGCAGCAUUCAUGGAGUUGAUGAAUGGGGUGUUUCGACCAUACCUUGAUUCUUUUGUGAUUGUUUUCAUCGAUGACAUCUUGGUUUACUCUAAGACUGAGGAGGACCAUGUCCGACACCUGAGGAUUGUACUCCAGAGGUUGAGAGAAGAGAAGUUGUAUGCCAAGUUCUCAAAGUGUGAGUUCUGGCUUACUUCUGUGACAUUCUUGGGGCACGUGGUGUCCAAGGAGGGUAUUAGAGUAGAUCCAGCCAAAAUUAAGGCAGUUAGAGGCUGGACGCGACCUACCUCACCUACUGAGAUUAGGAGUUUUGUGGGAUUGGCAGGCUAUUAUCGACGAUUUGUUCAGAGUUUCUCUACUAUUGCAGCUCCAUUGACUAGAUUGACUCGACAGGAUGUGAGUUUUCAGUGGUCUGAUGAGUGUGAGGAGAGCUUUCAAAAACUCAAGACUUUGUUGACUUCUGCUCCUGUGUUGACUCUACCUGAGGAAGGUGUAGACUUUACUGUGUAUUGUGAUGCUUCAGGAGUUGGUUUGGGUGGUGUGUUGAUGCAGAAGGGGAAAGUGAUUGCUUAUGCUUCUAGGCAAUUGAAAUCCCAUGAGAAAAACUACCCUACUCAUGAUUUGGAGUUGGCGGCUGUGGUAUUUGUACUUAAGUUAUGGCGUCAUUAUUUGUAUGGGGUGCAUUGUGAGAUCUUCACUGAUCAUCGGAGUCUUCAAUAUAUCUUUAGCUAGAGGGAUUUGAACUUGAGGCAACGGAGAUGGCUUGAGUUGUUGAAGGACUAUGAUGUGACCAUUCUGUAUCAUCCAGGAAAGGCCAAUGUUAUGGCCGAUGCUCUGAGUAGGAAGACUCCUAGCAUGGGGAGUCUUGCAGCACUUAGUAUUAUGGAGAGACCAUUGGCUAGAGAUGUGCAGAUAUUAGCUAACAGUCUUGUCCGCUUGCAGAUUUCAGAAGAGAGUGAGGGGAUGAUUGCUUUUAUUGAGGCUCGGUCUUCUUUAGUCGAGCAAAUUCGUGCACACCAAUUUGAUGACGAAAAAUUAUGUCUCAUUCGAGACAGAGUAUUGAGAGGGGAAGCUAAGGAGGCUGUCCUUGAUUCUGAUGGUGUCUUGCGGAUCGGAGGCAGAAUUUGUGUGCCCAGGACAGGCGAUUUGAUUAGAUUGAUUCUUGAGGAGGCCCAUUGUACUCGGUAUUCCAUCCAUCCGGGAGCGGCAAAGAUGUAUCAUGAUCUGAGUCAGCAUUACUGGUGGUGUGGGAUGAAGAGAGAUAUUUCAGACUUUGUUUCUAGGUGUUUGACUUGCCAGCAGGUCAAAUGUGAGCACCAGCGGCCAGGGGGUGUAUCUCAGAGGAUGCCUAUUCCUACUUGGAAGUGGGAGCGGAUUACUAUGGACUUUGUUGUGGGUUUGCCUACCACAGUGGGUGGUUAUGACUCUAUUUGGGUUGUUGUUGAUAGACUGACCAAGUCUGCCCACUUCAUCCCGGUUCGGGUAAAGUAUACAGCAGAAAAGUUAGCCGAACUAUAUAUCAGUCAGAUUGUACGACUACAUGGAGUUCCUCUUUCUAUCAUAUCAGAUCGAGGUUCACUAUUUACUUCUCACUUCUGGAAGGCAUUACAACAUGGUCUGGGUACUCAGUUAGAUAUGAGUACGGCAUUUCACCCUCAGACAGAUGGUCAAUCUGAGCGGACCAUUCAGGUAUUGGAAGAUAUGCUUCGAGCGUGUGUGAUCGAUUUUGGUGCAAGAUGGGAUCGACAUUUACCCUUAGCGGAGUUUGCCUAUAAUAACAGUUAUCACUCUAGUAUCCAAAUGGCCCCAUUUGAGGCAUUAUAUGGUAGACGGUGUAGAUCUCCUAUUGGUUGGUUUGAUUCGGCGGAGAUGGACUCUUUGGAUACAGACUUGCUUAGAGAUGCUAUGGAGCAAGUUCGUAUGAUUCAGUAUAGAUUAUUGACAGCUCAGAGUCGACAAAAGAGUUAUGCAGACCGGAGAGUUAGAGCCUUGGUGUUUAUGGAGGGUGAUCAUGUUUGGCUCCGAGUAUCACCCAUGAAGGGUGUAAUGAGGUUUGGAAAGAAGGGCAAGCUUAGCCCUAGGUUCAUUGGACCUUUUGAGAUUUUGAGCCGAGUGGGAGAGGUGGCCUAUAAGUUGGCCUUGCCACCUAGUUUGUCGGCAGUUCAUCCUGUUUUCCAUGUCUCUAUGCUUCGGAAGUAUAUUCCGGAUGAAUCUCAUGUGAUUUCACUCGAUUCUGUGGAGCUGGGUCCAGACUUGACAUUUGAGGAGGAGCCUAUAGCUAUUUUGGAUAGGCAAAUUCGAAAGCUUAGGACCAAAGAGAUUGCUUCAGUGAAGGUGCAAUGGAAGCACCGAUCAGUGAGAGAGGCAACUUGGGAGACAGAGUCUGACAUGCGUGCCAGAUAUCCUCAACUUUUUGAAGCAUCAGGUACUUUCUUUUACUUUAUGUUCGAGGACGAACAUGAUUUUUAGUGGUGGAUAAUGUAAUGACCCGGAAGGUCAUUUUUGGAAAUUUUAAAUAUUAGUGUAACUUGAGUUAAUUAAUCGAUAGUUUAUGGGCUAAAAUGAUAAUUUAUUUAAGACCCUAUACUAUUUAGCCUUUAUUUAAUUAAAUAUGUGGAACAAAACUAACCUAAACGUGUGACGAAAAACAAAGAAGAGGAGAAAGUCUGAAAAACACUCGCAGCGCCGUCGAACAAGUGCACUUGAUUCAGGUAAUAAUUUUAAACUUUGCAUUGAGGCUGCUGAAUAUGUCUUGUAAUUAAUGUACAAUUAUAAUUUUUAUGUUAACUUUAAUAUGUGCUUUGGAAUGUGAAACAUGGCAAAAUGAAUAUGGAAUAAAGAAAUAAUAUUUGGAAGUUGGUAUAUUGGUAUGAAGUAAUUUUGAAAUUUAGAAAGAGGGUCAUGCCAAUCAUGUGAUAAUUGUUGGGAAUAUAAUUGCAUCAAGAUGAUUGAAAAAUAAUAGAUAGGAAUAUAGGGUAUCCAUUUGAGGAUUUAAAAUAUAUUUUUUUGUCCUCGUGAUUUUCUCUGUAACUUAAGGCUUCACUGUUUCUUAGAAUUUUCUUAUUAUUAUCAUAUUAAGAUUCAAGUGUGAUAUAUUGAGAUAGGUAAUUAAAUAUUAGAUAUAUUAUAUUAUAUAGAUAUCGUUAAAGUUAUGAUAUUUGGAGAAAUUGAAAUUUAACCGUAAGCUUAAAUUUGGAAAACAUGAGAGUUCACAUGUUAAUUGACAUCAAGAAUUACAAACUUGAUUAUAAAUUUGGGUGAAGUUUUAUGUCAAGGUUAAACACAUAAUAAUGUGGGUGUUGUUAGUUCCAAACCUUAUUGUGAAUAUACAUAUUUGAAUAGAUUGCAUCGAUUUGGAAGCUCAACUUAAAGGGAAGGCUCAAGUCCCGUAGUGAUUAUUCAAGUGACUAAGGCAAGUGGAUUUCUAAACUCUUGUUAAGCGUACGAAAUUCGUGUAUUUCCUUGUGUGAUGUUGAGAAUGAUUUGGAGACUUGUUGUUUAUUUGUUGGUGUUGUAUUUCUUGUUGUAAAUUGUGUUUGGUUAUCAAAUGGUUAUCUCCUCCCUUUUCAUUUGAGCAUGUCAUUUGCAUUGUAUCUGAGACAUUGUUGUGGUAAGAGGAUGGUGUACUAUUUUCGAGGGUCGUAUCGCGCGCCGCGAUGGAUAUUAUAUUUCGAGGGACGUAUCACGCGCCGCGAAGGUUACUACUUAUCGAGGGUCGUGUCGUGCGCCGCGACAGAUGCAUGGACAGAUAUGUCCCCCAUGGGUCCCGAACUGAGAGACAGCGGGUGUGUAUCGUUAGGAAAGACAUGCAUCACGAUAUUUGACAUUGCAUCUCAUGACAUUGCACAUCUUAUUAUUGAUGAACUUGAACAUGUGUUUUGCUGAUCUUGUGAUUGUUUCUCUGUGAAGUCUGUGAUUGUUGAAUAUUGAGUUGAUAUUGAGAAUGUGUAAACUGAUAGAGUGUGGUUAUUGAGUGGUGUGUUUGGUAAACUGUUAGGCUGUAGCGUGGAGGUUUAGAUAGGGUGUAAGGAGUACCCGUAUUUUGUUCACUUAACUUGUGUUUAGA